GGGCCUGUAGCUCAGUUGGUUAGAGCGCACGCCUGAUAAGCGUGAGGUCGUUGGUUCAACUCCAAUCAGGCCCA
This 74-nucleotide transfer RNA is filed under the name Candidatus Izimoplasma sp. HR1. Its description in RNAcentral is "Candidatus Izimaplasma sp. HR1 tRNA". It matches the Rfam family "tRNA". From Rfam's summary of the family: Transfer RNA (tRNA) molecules are approximately 80 nucleotides in length. The record is from Rfam by way of RNAcentral. Lineage: Bacteria; Bacillati; Mycoplasmatota; Mollicutes; Candidatus Izemoplasmatales; Candidatus Izemoplasmataceae.